RNAcentral lists this long non-coding RNA (449 nucleotides) under Medicago truncatula (barrel medic). RNAcentral's name for it is "lncRNA gene22552". Lineage: Eukaryota; Viridiplantae; Streptophyta; Magnoliopsida; Fabales; Fabaceae. The record is from RNAcentral.
UUCAUUCACUCAUUUCACAAACAUUUUGAGAUAGAGGUAGAGAGAGAAAGUGGAUCAAGAGGAAGAGAAGGGGAACUAGAGAGAGAGAGCUUGGGAAUGGAGACUAUUAGCUAAAGUGAAGCUAGGGUUUAGAUUCUUGAAGAACUAAAGUUAAGGGGGAUGGUUUCUUUUCACUAAUUAAGGUGAUCGUUAAUAGGUUGUUGCUGUUGCUGUCGUGAGUGACUUAUUCCUCACUGAGUCUUAGGAUGCUCUGAUACGUAACGGGAUGGGAUUUUUUGUGGCUAUUUUCUAUUCCUUUACGUAUUGUGUAUAUUUUAAUAAGGCCUGCGUGCCAAAGACUUAUUUAUGUUAAUGAAUUUAAUCCGCUGCAAAGUUUGAAUUAAUAUGUUGAUGAUUUUUGGAAAGAUAAUUAGUUAAUUACCUCAUUUAUGAUUUUUAAGAAGUCGUGA